This 1197-nucleotide long non-coding RNA is filed under the name Solanum tuberosum (potato). RNAcentral's name for it is "long non-coding RNA (STUB_LNC002300)". The record is from RNAcentral. Lineage: Eukaryota; Viridiplantae; Streptophyta; Magnoliopsida; Solanales; Solanaceae.
CUACCUUAGGGGUCUUUUGGUAGAGUGUACAAAUUGACCUGCAGUAAUGUGUAAUGUGCAUUUUGCUUGCAGGUUAAUUUGAAUAGUCUACCUUACUUCUUACUUUUUCACUUGCAAGUUUCCGUUUAUCAAACACAAUGUUUGAAUAUGGACUAUCUAGAUGACUCAGCCAAACUGUAUAUGCAUCUGCUGUGAUAUAAGUGUUCAUUCAGUCUUCAUAUUGAAGGCUGUUAUGGUCCCCUGAUAUGGAUCUGGUUAUGGGGCGUUGUAGUGUGAAAUCGAAUGUUUUCUUCCUACGACCUAUGAUGUUGGUUCGUUAAGAGAGAACUUGCAAUCUCUUGAGUUUGAAGUACUCAAAGACUUAGUAAUUUUCUGCAUAACAUUUCACUGAAUUCAAAUACAUUAAAUACAACACUGAAACAAUGAAAGUAACUGCCUACUGCCUACUACAACUGAAUGAGAAAGUGGAGGAAUAACCUCCUUACUGCAAUAACUGCUACACAGAAAAUGUAAACAUAAAUACUUAAAAGCUGUAGUAAUCUACUGCGAACAACUAAAUAACUUAUAAGCUAAAGUAAUCUACUUUCUAAUUUCCUUAAAUCUCCCAUGUGUAAACCGUUGGUAGACUAAAGGAGUGCUAACAAAGGCUUUUGAAUAUUGUGGUCUAGAUGAAGCACAAUCAUCCCACAGUAUAAGCGUGCUCUCGACAUUCUUGGAAGUGACAAGAAUGAAAGAUUAUACUGCUUAUGCAAAUGUACUGUUCCCUCUGUUCCAAUUUAUGUGUCGUACUUCCCUUUUUAGUAUGUUUCAAAGAGAAUGACACCUUCUAUGUUUAGUAACUCUUUAAUUCCAACAUCCCACAACAUGUUUAAGACCAUAAGAUUCGAAGGCCAUUUUGGUGCAUUAUACACAUCUUUGGGUCAAGACUUAAGACCACAAAAUUCAAAAGUCUACCUUACUAUCUUAGGAGUCAUUUGGUAGAGUGUACAAAUUUACCUGCAGUUAUGUGUAAUAUGCAUUUUGCUUGCAGGUCAAUUUGAACAGUCUACCUUACUUCUUACUUUUUCACUUGCAAGUUUCCGUGUAUCAAACACAAUUUUUGAAUAUGGACUAUCUAGAUGACUCAGCCGAUCUGUAUAUGCAUUUCCUGUAAUAUAAGUAUUCAUUCAGUCUUCAUAUUGAACGCUUUGUCCUGGG